CGCGUCUACCAUGCAGUCGAGCGGUAAGGCCCUUCGGGGUACACGAGCGGCGAACGGGUGAGUAACACGUGAGCAACCUGCCCCUGACUCCGGGAUAAGCGGUGGAAACGCCGUCUAAUACCGGAUACGACCCUCCACCUCAUGGUGGUGGGUGGAAAGUUUUUCGGUCGGGGAUGGGCUCGCGGCCUAUCAGCUUGUUGGUGGGGUAACGGCCUACCAAGGCGAUUACGGGUAGCCGGCCUGAGAGGGCGACCGGCCACACUGGGACUGAGACACGGCCCAGACUCCUGCGGGAGGCAGCAGUGGGGAAUAUUGCGCAAUGGGCGAAAGCCUGACGCAGCGACGCCGCGUGGGGGAUGACGGCCUUCGGGUUGUAAACCUCUUUUACCACUCACGCAGGCUCCACGUUCUCGUGGGGUUGACGGUAGGUGGGGAAUAAGGACCGGCUAACUACGUGCCAGCAGCCGCGGUAAUACGUAGGGUCCGAGCGUUGUCCGGAAUUAUUGGGCGUAAAGAGCUCGUAGGCGGCGUGUCGCGUCUGCUGUGAAAGACCGGGGCUUAACCCCGGUUCUGCAGUGGAUACGGGCAUGCUAGAGGUAGGUAGGGGAGACUGGAAUUCCUGGUGUAGCGGUGAAAUGCGCAGAUAUCAGGAGGAACACCGGUGGCGAAGGCGGGUCUCUGGGCCUUACCUGACGCUGAGGAGCGAAAGCAUGGGGAGCGAACAGGAUUAGAUACCCUGGUAGUCCAUGCCGUAAACGUUGGGCGCUAGGUGUGGGGACUUUCCACGGUUUCCGCGCCGUAGCUAACGCAUUAAGCGCCCCGCCUGGGGAGUACGGCCGCAAGGCUAAACUCAAAGGAAUUGACGAGGGCCCGCACAAGCGGCGGAGCAUGUUGCUUAAUUCGACGCAUCGCGAAGAACCUUACCAAGG
Molecule: ribosomal RNA, 929 nt
Filed under: Nocardiopsis lucentensis
Lineage: Bacteria; Bacillati; Actinomycetota; Actinomycetes; Streptosporangiales; Nocardiopsidaceae
Description: bacterial SSU rRNA
Rfam family: Bacterial small subunit ribosomal RNA
Source: RNAcentral